CUACGGGCGGCUCCAGUGGGGAAUAUUGCACAAUGGGCGCAAGCCUGAUGCAGCCAUGCCGCGUGUAUGAAGAAGGCCUUCGGGUUGUAAAGUACUUUCAGCGGGGAGGAAGGGAGUAAAGUUAAUACCUUUGCUCAUUGACGUUACCCGCAGAAGAAGCACCGGCUAACUCCGUGCCAGCAGCCGCGGUAAUACGGAGGGUGCAAGCGUUAAUCGGAAUUACUGGGCGUAAAGCGCAGGCAGGCGGUUUGUUAAGUCAGAUGUGAAAUCCCCGGGCUCAACCUGGGAACUGCAUCUGAUACUGGCAAGCUUGAGUCUCGUAGAGGGGGGUAGAACUCCAGGUGUAGCGGUGAAAUGCGUAGAGAUCUGGAGGAAUACCGGUGGCGAAGGCGGCCCCCUGGACGAAGACUGACGCUCAGGUGCGAAAGCGUGGGGAGCAAACAGGAUUAGAUACCCGAGUAGUC
RNAcentral lists this ribosomal RNA (464 nucleotides) under uncultured bacterium. RNAcentral's name for it is "partial 16S ribosomal RNA". It matches the Rfam family "Bacterial small subunit ribosomal RNA", at positions 339 to 795 of the family's 1533-position model. The record is from RNAcentral.